RNAcentral lists this non-coding RNA (48 nucleotides) under unclassified sequences. Its description in RNAcentral is "S4-Clostridia ribosomal protein leader". It matches the Rfam family "S4-Clostridia ribosomal protein leader". The record is from RNAcentral.
GAAAGGCGGCCGUAAGGCAGCUGGGUGUCUAUGCACACCCCAAUUAGA